Molecule: unclassified non-coding RNA, 331 nt
Filed under: soil metagenome
Description: partial contains 5.8S ribosomal RNA, internal transcribed spacer 2, and large subunit ribosomal RNA
Rfam family: 5.8S ribosomal RNA (bases 1-120)
Source: RNAcentral
GAUGAAGAACGCAGCGAAAUGCGAUAAGUAAUGUGAAUUGCAGAAUUCAGUGAAUCAUCGAAUCUUUGAACGCACAUUGCGCCCCCUGGUAUUCCGGGGGGCAUGCCUGUUCGAGCGUCAUUUCACCACUCAAGCCUCGCUUGGUAUUGGGCAACGCGGUCCGCCGCGUGCCUCAAAUCGACCGGCUGGGUCUUCUGUCCCCUAAGCGUUGUGGAAACUAUUCGCUAAAGGGUGUUCGGGAGGCUACGCCGUAAAACAACCCCAUUUCUAAGGUUGACCUCGGAUCAGGUAGGGAUACCCGCUGAACUUAAGCAUAUCAACAAGCGGAGGA